This 230-nucleotide long non-coding RNA is filed under the name Olea europaea (common olive). Its description in RNAcentral is "long non-coding RNA (OEUR_LNC010949)". The record is from RNAcentral. Lineage: Eukaryota; Viridiplantae; Streptophyta; Magnoliopsida; Lamiales; Oleaceae.
AUAUGAAAAUAAAAACGAAAUAAAUCAAUCAAUUCCAGAAUUUGUGUUCACAUACGUCAAAAAUCCAAAACAACAAUUAAACGUAGUAUUACAAGGUUCAUCGAUCUCCUAGUAGUAAUAAAUCUAGCCUAACAUGCUAAAAAGAACAAAACUUAAAAAUAUUUGAAGAAACGAUAUCACCCGAAUCAAUCUUCAAUCCGAUCUUCAAUUGGCGCGAUGUUGUUCUCUUG